Molecule: ribosomal RNA, 436 nt
Filed under: uncultured Acidimicrobiales bacterium
Lineage: Bacteria; Bacillati; Actinomycetota; Acidimicrobiia; Acidimicrobiales
Description: bacterial SSU rRNA
Rfam family: Bacterial small subunit ribosomal RNA
Source: RNAcentral
ACGGGAGGCAGCAGUGGGGAAUCUUGCGCAAUGGGCGAAAGCCUGACGCAGCAACGCCGCGUGCGGGAUGAAGGCCUUCGGGUUGUAAACCGCUUUCAGUGGGGACGAAAUCAGACGGUACCCACAGAAGAAGCCCCGGCCAACUACGUGCCAGCAGCCGCGGUAACACGUAGGGGGCGAGCGUUGUCCGGAAUCAUUGGGCGUAAAGAGCUCGUAGGCGGCUCAAUAAGUCGGGUGUGAAACCCUCAGGCUCAACCUGGGGACGCCACCCGAUACUGUUGUGGCUAGAGUCCAGUAGGGGAGUGUGGAAUUUCCGGUGUAGCGGUGAAAUGCGCAGAUAUCGGAAGGAACACCAGCGGCGAAGGCGGCACUCUGGGCUGGUACUGACGCUGAGGAGCGAAAGCGUGGGUAGCAAACAGGAUUAGAUACCCUGGUA